CCUUCUUCAAUUACUAGAGAGAAUCAUACAAAUGAGUGAAAGAAAACUGGAUUCUUGUCUCUUCUUGAAGCAUCCUCACGAGGAUCACACAAUCUUUCUUUUUGCUGGGUUAAAUAGAAAGCUUGAAAACUCACUCUCCCCAAAAACUCAUCAGCUUUAACUUACCCUCUUACCCUCGACGAAGAACCUCUACCACCGGCGGGUGCUCUUUCCCCACCGUUACACCACCAUAACACAACCUUAACUCUUUUUUAUUUUACCCCCUGAAAUUACCAGCCCCCCCUCCUUCUAGUCAACCCACUACUGGAAGAAGGAAGGACGAGGAAGCAACAACGCCAUCACCCCCUGCUGCCAUCUUCGACCCUCUGUUGCGACUACCUCCCCUCACCAUAAGCCUCCAACUCCUUAUUCUUCUUAUUUAUUUAUUAUUGUGUAUGGUUCGACUUCUAACCAAGAAAUAAAGCUUCUCAUUGUAUAUUGCUGUGUGCGUUACUUUCCCAUGCACAGCUUGUCGAUCACAAUACAUCUUCAAAACUCUAACACACAAAUCUUUUCUUUUGUUUUUCAUUGUUUUCCUUCGUGUAUGAUUCCCUGUGUUGUUCGAUAAAAGCCCAGGUAAGAAAACCAUACCUUCUGUUUGCCCAUUCUGGGUACUAAAUAUAAACCCAUAUAAAUAUGAUAGAAACGAUUCACAGCAAGUUCUUGGUUUUGUUAGUCAAACCAAACUCCCAUCUCAAAUAAAUAGCUUAUACUCUUUUUUUUUAAAUUUAUUUUACAAAUUUAAUCUCUUCGUUUACUUCUGUUAGUAAAAUUUCAUGCAUUUUGCUCUGAAAUAAGAAGCUAUGUACUCUCUGUAUUGUAAACCCACGAAAGAAAAAUAAUUCACAGUAAACUCAAAAACCCACACCUCAAACUUUCUUUCCAUUUAAUUAAGACAAACCUUGGAGUUAUGUUAGUUUUCAACAUUAAAGUCCUUGUCCUCCCAUUUUACUUUUGUGGGCCAUACUUGCACCAUUACGUAAACAGAAAAGAAAAAGAGUCAAAACAUAACUUACAUUCCAGAAUAAUUAUUUCAGCCCUCAUUUGAAAUUUAUUACAAAAUUAGUCCCUUUUCCAAAACCAUAUUACAAUUUAUUUAAUAUGUACCAUCCCUUGGGAUUAAGUUAACAAAACAGUCCCUUAUUUAAUAUAUUUUUGCAAUACAGUCCCAACUUUGGAUCAUUGAUAGUUCGUGUUCUCGCGGUGUGUCCCGACUCAAAUCUUGCACUUAGCUUACUCGAAAUCACGCUACAAAAGUACCAGCGAGGAUCGCGGGAAGGCGCCGACAUGAUCCGUACACACUGAGAGGGUUUAUGUAUUUGAGAUCUUUUGAGAUUCUGGGAUUUGUUUAUUAUGAUGACAUUGGAUAAAUAUGUUGGAUAUUGUUUUUAGUGAUUAAAAAUAUGUUUUAAUAAUGAAAAAUUGUUUUGGAAA
Lactuca sativa (garden lettuce) is the source of this 1473-nucleotide non-coding RNA. The record is from RefSeq and is a predicted model, not a curated record. Lineage: Eukaryota; Viridiplantae; Streptophyta; Magnoliopsida; Asterales; Asteraceae.